GAUGAACGCUAGCGGCAGGCUUAAUACAUGCAAGUCGAGGGGCAGCACGGUUAGCAAUAACUGGUGGCGACCGGCGCACGGGUGCGUAACACGUAUACAAUCUACCUUAAACAGGGGGAUAGCCUUUCGAAAGAGAGAUUAAUACCCCGUAAUAAAUUGAACGGCAUCGUUUGAUUUUGAAAGCUCCGGCGGUUUGAGAUGAGUAUGCGUCUGAUUAGCUAGUUGGUGAGGUAACGGCUCACCAAGGCGACGAUCAGUAGGGGAUCUGAGAGGACUAACCCCCCACACUGGUACUGAGACACGGACCAGACUCCUACGGGAGGCAGCAGUAAGGAAUAUUGGUCAAUGGAGGCAACUCUGAACCAGCCAUGCCGCGUGCAAGAUGACGGCCCUAUGGGUUGUAAACUGCUUUUAUACAAGAGAAACCCUGGUACGUGUACCAGGUUGAUAGUAUUGUAAGAAUAAGCAUCGGCUAACUUCGUGCCAGCAGCCGCGGUAAU
RNAcentral lists this ribosomal RNA (500 nucleotides) under uncultured bacterium. RNAcentral describes it as "bacterial SSU rRNA". It matches the Rfam family "Bacterial small subunit ribosomal RNA", at positions 28 to 524 of the family's 1533-position model. The record is from RNAcentral.